This 366-nucleotide unclassified non-coding RNA is filed under the name uncultured bacterium. RNAcentral describes it as "contains 16S-23S intergenic spacer region". The record is from RNAcentral.
UCCGCGUUGUGCGCGGCAGUCUCGUCUGACACGUAUAACAGACGACAAGGGUUGCGUUUGUUACCCCACUUAAGGGAGCGCCUCACGGCACAAACUGACGACAGCCAUGCAGCACCUGUGCAAGUGUCCUAAUAGGAAGCCCUCCCUUUCGGGUGGGUGUCACUUGCAUGUCAAGCCCUGGUAAGGUUCUUCGCUUAUCGUCGAAUUAAACCGCAUGCUCCACCGCUUGUGCGAGUCCCCGUCUAUUCCUUUGAGUUUUAGCCUUGCGGCCGUACUUCCCAGGCGGAACACUUAACGCGUUAGCUUCGCCGCCUGAAGGGUCGACACUUCAGACAGCUAGUGUUCAACGUUUACGGCGUGGACUAC